Molecule: long non-coding RNA, 1142 nt
Organism: Triplophysa dalaica
Lineage: Eukaryota; Metazoa; Chordata; Actinopteri; Cypriniformes; Nemacheilidae
Exons: 3
Source: RefSeq, a predicted model, not a curated record
CUUUAAGUCACUAGCAACGGAAGAACUACAUUUGAGUCUGUCCUGAAGAAAAUGUAACACAGAGACGUGCCAGUAUCGACAGAGUGAAGAAUGGAUAAUGUUCUGCACACAGAGAUGGAUUCACUGUAUCAUCUUGAAACCCUUCUCAAUUACUGGCACAAUAGGGGCUGCCCAUUCGCUGAAUCGUACAGGUUACCGCAGGAUGCAGUUCAUGCCCAGACCUGAUGGCAGAGCUGAGAAUGGGAAGCGAUGACCUAACAGGAGCUGAGAUGAUAGAGCUGGAUAAAGGACACGAUUUCACUAGAAAAUUUCAAAUGCUAUUAGAUUGUUAAUGAUAAUCUUAAAACUAUAAUUUACCUUAUUAGUAAAACAUUUAUUUAGCCUUGUUGUGCAAGCACUGUUGAGCACUGUUUUUUUCUCGAUUGGAGUUUUGGGUUCCUCGCCACCGUUUGCAUACUGUUUUGCACUAUUUGCCUAUCCGGGGGGGCUGCUUUAGAAGUAUAAAUAAAAAAAAUAUUGUUGGCAUAUAAAUUUGUUGUACCUUCAUUUUAAAUAUACUAUAUAUAAAAGCACAGACAAUGCAUAUGUACUGUAUAUUGUCAGGAUUAGGGUUUGAUUUUCCUUUCUUUCUGUUUUGGUUGGCUGUUCCUGUACAGCUGUUGCCACUCACUCUCUCUGGCCCUUGAGCACCUGUUCCUUGUUCCCAAUUAUCAUUCUCCCCUUCAUAUUCUCCUGUUAUUUUCUUUUCCGUUGCCAGUGUAUUUGCUCUUGUAGUUUUAACCACUUGCUAUCUCUUGUCUUGCCUAGCCCAGUUUUAUACUUGCCCUUUGUUCCCUGUCCCAGUGGUGGUAGACAUCUGGCCACUUCGUUCUCUGAACUGUCUUUUCUUAUUCGAUAUUGGUCGGUCGGACUACGAGCCUUCUUUACUCCAACCGAUGACGUUUGCACCUCGGCUGAGCUCCGGCUUCCUUGACUCUGACUCUUGCCUCGCCCCACCUCUCGUGGCAGCAGUGUUCCUUAUUUUAAUAUCAUCCUUUGUGUUUUAUAGACUCUUGCCUUUCUCUGCCACACCCCACGGCUCUACGAAGCAGUAAACCUCAGUUUUGUUGUAUCCCUUGUGUUUAAUAAACUCUGCUAAUCUA